AAUAUAAUGACUGAUUUAAAGUGAUAAAUUGUAAAUUUAUUUAUGGGAGAAAUCUCUUAUAUUA
RNAcentral lists this transfer RNA (64 nucleotides) under Batrisodes sp. 1 EF-2015. Its description in RNAcentral is "tRNA-Tyr". The record is from RNAcentral. Lineage: Eukaryota; Metazoa; Arthropoda; Insecta; Coleoptera; Staphylinidae.